RNAcentral lists this transfer RNA (18 nucleotides) under Ancashia alpaminae. Its description in RNAcentral is "Brayopsis alpaminae partial tRNA-His". The record is from RNAcentral. Lineage: Eukaryota; Viridiplantae; Streptophyta; Magnoliopsida; Brassicales; Brassicaceae.
GGGGGAUGUACCCAAGUG